This 428-nucleotide ribosomal RNA is filed under the name Phyllodactylus thompsoni. RNAcentral describes it as "partial 12S ribosomal RNA". It matches the Rfam family "Bacterial small subunit ribosomal RNA", at positions 768 to 1393 of the family's 1533-position model. The record is from RNAcentral. Lineage: Eukaryota; Metazoa; Chordata; Lepidosauria; Squamata; Phyllodactylidae.
UAAACUGGGAUUAGAUACCCCACUAUACUUAGCCAUAAACCUUGAUGGACACCACACCAACCCCGUCCGCCAGAGAACUACGAGUAAAAAACUUAAAACUCAAAGGACUUGACGGUGCCCCACACCAGCCUAGAGGAGCCUGUCCAAUAAUCGAUACUCCACGCUUUACCUCUCCCCCCCUCGCACCAAACAGCCUAUAUACCGCCGUCGCCAGCCUGCCUAGUGAUAGUUACACAGCAGGCAAAAUAGUCUUUCCCACUAACACGUCAGGUCAAGGUGUAGCUAAUGAUGGGGCUUGAGAUGGGCUACAUUUUCUAGACAUUAGAAAACACCAAAAGCCAUAUGAAACCUGGACCAAAAGGCGGAUUUAGCAGUAAACCGGACAAGAAGUGCCUAGUUGAAACCUGCCCUGGGGCGCGUACCACCGC